UUUAGUCUUUUCAGAGGAACCUGUCCCGUAAUCGAUAAUCCACGUUAAACCUUACUUAUCUUUGUUAUCAACUUGUAUACCGCCGUCGUCAGAAUGUCCUAAGAAGGAUUUAAUUUUCUUAAAUUUUUAUUAAAAAUGAUGUCAGGUCAAGGUGUAGUUUAUGGAUAAGUGGAGAUGGGUUACAAUAAAAGUAUUUAUAACGUAUAAAUUUUUGCAAUAAAAUUUUGAAGGUGGAUUUGAUAGUAAUUAAAUUAAUUAAAUUAAUUUGAUUUUGGCUCUAAAACAUGCACACAUCGCCCGUCGCUCUCGUUAAUUAAGGCGAGAUAAGUCGUAACAUAGUAG
RNAcentral lists this ribosomal RNA (342 nucleotides) under Nemurella pictetii. RNAcentral describes it as "partial small subunit ribosomal RNA". It matches the Rfam family "Microsporidia small subunit ribosomal RNA", at positions 797 to 1282 of the family's 1311-position model. Lineage: Eukaryota; Metazoa; Arthropoda; Insecta; Plecoptera; Nemouridae. The record is from RNAcentral.